RNAcentral lists this ribosomal RNA (486 nucleotides) under uncultured bacterium. Its description in RNAcentral is "partial 16S ribosomal RNA". It matches the Rfam family "Bacterial small subunit ribosomal RNA", at positions 29 to 507 of the family's 1533-position model. The record is from RNAcentral.
AACGAACGCUGGCGGCGCGUCUUAACCAUGCAAGUCGAGCGGCAGGCAGCAAUGCCGAGAGCGGCGGACUGGUGAGUAACACGUGGAUAACGUACCCCGAUGUCCGGGACAGCCUGUAGAAAUAGAGGGUAAUACCGGAUAGAUCACUGUUUACGUGAGGUAGACAGCGGGAAAGGAGCUUCGGCUCCGCGACGGGAUCGGUCUGCGGCCCAUCAGCUGGACGGCGGGGUAAAGGCCCGCCGUGGCGAGGACGGGUAUCCGGCCUGAGAGGGCGGACGGACACAUUGGGACUGAGAUACGGCCCAGACUCCUACGGGAGGCAGCAGGUAAGAAUAUUCCGCAAUGGGGGGAACCCUGACGGAGCGACGCCGCGUGAACGAAGAAGGCCUGAAGGUUGUAAAGUUCUUUUCUGUCCGAGGAAUAAGUUUCGGAGGAAAUGCCGGGACGGUGACGGUAGGGCAGGAAUAAGCACCGGCUAAUUACGUG